AUGGAUGUAGCACAGUUGGUAGUGUUCUUGGUUUGGGACCAAGAGGUCGCAGGUUCGAGUCCUGUCAUCCAUA
RNAcentral lists this transfer RNA (73 nucleotides) under Clostridia bacterium. Its description in RNAcentral is "tRNA-Pro". It matches the Rfam family "tRNA". From Rfam's summary of the family: Transfer RNA (tRNA) molecules are approximately 80 nucleotides in length. Their secondary structure includes four short double-helical elements and three loops (D, anti-codon, and T loops). Lineage: Bacteria; Bacillati; Bacillota; Clostridia. RNAcentral also lists the same sequence under 1 other name. The record is from RNAcentral.